CAAUAGCGUAUAUUUAAGUUGUUGCAGUUAAAAAGCUCGUAGUUGGAUUUCGGAUGGGGUUUGCCGGUCCGUCGUUACGAUGUGCACUGGCCAGUCCUAUCUUGUUGUCGGGGACUAGCUCCUUGGAUUCACUUCCUGGGACUAGGAGCUGACGAGGUUACUUUGAGUAAAUUAGAGUGUUCAAAGCAAGCCUACGCUCUGAAUACAUUAGCAUGGAAUAACACGAUAGGACUCUGGCUUAUCUUGUUGGUCUGUGAGACCAGAGUAAUGAUUAAGAGGGACAGUCGGGGACAUUCGUAUUUCAUUGUCAGAGGUGAAAUUCUUGGAUUUAUGAAAGACGAACUUCUGCGAAAGCAUUUGUCAAGGAUGUUUUCAUUAA
Molecule: ribosomal RNA, 379 nt
Filed under: uncultured eukaryote
Lineage: Eukaryota
Description: partial 18S ribosomal RNA
Rfam family: Eukaryotic small subunit ribosomal RNA
Source: RNAcentral